UCUGCGCCUCCGCCGGCUUCCUAGAGCGCCGGGCUCCACCUUCUGCCCCUCACGCUGCCAUGGCGAGCCGAGGGGCUCGGCAGCGUUUGAAAGGCGGCGGGGACCCGGCUCCCGCCACCAAGAAGCUACGGAAGCAGCCGGCCAGCCGGGAGGCGGGCGGCGCGGAGCCCCGGCCCGAGUUAUCUGGGAACAAAGCCAGCCAAGUCUGGGCACCUGACGGGUCUACCGCUUUCAAGUGUCUUCUCUCAGCAAGGUUGUGCGCUGCUCUGCUGAGCAACAUCUCUGACUGUGAUGAAACAUUCAACUAUUGGGAACCAACACACUACCUCAUCUAUGGGAAAGGGUUUCAGACUUGGGAAUAUUCCCCGGUGUAUGCCAUUCGCUCCUAUGCCUAUCUGUUGCUUCAUGCCUGGCCAGCUGCAUUUCAUGCAAGAAUUCUACAGACUAAUAAGAUUCUUGUGUUUUACUUUUUGCGAUGUCUUCUGGCUUUUGUGAGCUGUAUUUGUGAGCUUUACUUUUACAAGGCUGUGUGCAAGAAGUUUGGGCUGCAUGUGAGUCGAAUGAUGCUGGCCUUCUUGGUGCUCAGCACUGGCAUGUUUUGUUCAUCGUCUGCAUUCCUUCCCAGUAGCUUCUGUAUGUACACUACAUUGAUAGCCAUGACUGGAUGGUACAUGGACAAGACUCCCAUUGCUGUGCUGGGAGUAGCAGCUGGGACUAUUGUAGGCUGGCCAUUCAGUGCUGCACUUGGUUUGCCAAUUGCCUUCGAUUUGCUGGUCAUGAAACACAGGUGGAAGAGUUUCCUUCGUUGGUCACUAGUGGCCCUAAUUCUCUUCCUGGUGCCUGUGGUGGUCAUAGACAGCUGCUAUUACGGGAAGUUGGUGAUUGCCCCUCUCAACAUUGUUUUGUAUAAUGUCUUCACUUCUCAUGGACCUGAUCUUUAUGGUACGGAACCCUGGUACUUUUAUUUGAUUAAUGGAUUUCUGAAUUUCAAUGUAGCAUUUGCUUUGGCUCUUCUGGUCUUACCACUGACUUCUCUUAUGGAAUACCUGCUGCAGAGGUUUCAUGUGCAGAAUUUAGGCCAUCCAUAUUGGCUUACCUUGGCUCCAAUGUAUAUUUGGUUUAUAAUUUUCUUCAUCCAGCCUCACAAAGAGGAGCGAUUUCUUUUCCCUGUCUAUCCACUUAUAUGUCUCUGUGGUGCUGUGGCUCUUUCUGCACUUCAGAAAUGCUACCACUUUGUGUUUCAGCAAUAUCGCCUGGAGCACUACACUGUGACAUCAAGUUGGUUGGCGUUAGGCACGGUCUUCCUGUUUGGUCUCCUGUCUUUCUCUCGCUCCGUGGCACUGUUCAGAGGUUAUCAUGGGCCCCUUGAUCUGUAUCCAGAAUUUUACCGAAUUGCCACAGACCCAACCAUCCACACUGUCCCAGAAGGCAGACCUGUGAAUGUUUGUGUGGGAAAAGAAUGGUAUCGAUUUCCCAGCAGCUUCCUUCUUCCAGAGAACUGGCAGCUACAGUUCAUUCCAUCAGAGUUCAGAGGUCAACUACCAAAACCUUUUGCAGAGGGACCACUGGCCACACAGAUUAUUCCUACUGACAUGAAUGACCAGAACCUAGAAGAGCCAUCCAGAUAUAUUGACAUCAAUAAAUGUCAUUAUUUGGUGGAUUUGGAUACCAUGACAGAAACACCGCGGGAACCAAAAUAUGCAUCCAAUAAAGAAGAAUGGAUCAGCCUGGCCUACAGACCAUUCCUUGAUGCUUCUAGGUCUUCAAAGCUGUUUCGGGCAUUCUACAUCCCCUUCCUGUCAGAUCAGUAUACAGUGUAUGUGAACUACACCAUCCUUAAACCUCGGAAAGCAAAGCAAAGUAGGAAGAAGAGUGGAGGUUAGCAACACACUCGUGGCCCCCGUGGACAGCCAUCUUGUUACCUGAUUCCAUUGACCUGACUCCCUCCAUAUCAUCACCUGUAACUUUUGUAAUAAAGUCAUCUGACAGGAACACCGGAAUCCAGACCGGAGAAGAGCAGAACCAACUUACAGGAAGAAUUGAAAAUCCCCGGGCUGGAUGGCUAUGUUAAGCUGUUCUCCACAUUGUGGCCUCACACCCAAGAAGUAGCAAGCCUCUCUCAGGAUGAAGGGGCUUCUCCACCAAAGCUAUCUGGCCGCUCCUAGGAGACCUUCACGCUCCAAUCCUAGUACUGAAAGUGAGCUCAGCUUAGUCGCCAACUGACAUGUCCUUUCCACCUUCAGCAAGACUAACUUCUGUGAAGCACUUUACAGGGAGGACUAUCUCAGGAAAAAGGCGACCACUGGAGGAACUGUGACUUAAUUUUGUUACAGAUGAUGCCUCUGACUUUCAUUUUAUUUCCUUUACAACCACCUUGAACCGUGUUUGUUUUAACUUUAGCAUGCUAUAACUUGAAUUCUGGAUUCUGCUGUACAAAGGUAUCAACAGCCUAAAUUUGUAUAGGGCAACCUUGGAAAGAAUUAAUUCUCGCCAUUGGUAGAGUCGGAUGCCAACACCUUUCUAGGUAAUGCAUUCUGAGGCCAUCUCUGAGGAAGCUAGUGAAAAGGACCAGUGUAUACUUGUAGCACAUGGUUUUUCAUUCUAUUGCAACCUCCCUGGGCACUCUAGUAGGCAGUGAUUAAGACCCAGUUCACACGCAGUAAGUACAUUCUAUUACUUACCUUAACACACAGUAUUUCACAGGUUCCAAGGCAUUUUCACAGCAUCUCAGUGUCCUCAGUCACCAUGAGGGGGAGGCCUGGCAGGUGAAUUUAUUAUCAUUUUACAGACGAGGAAAGUGGUAGAGGUAAAAUGACUUGCCUGGGGAAAUCCAGGUUGCAUGAUUUCCAUGCUUCCCCCCGUUCAACCAUGAUGUGGUAGAGGAUGAGGUUGGCCAAGACCUGGUUGAUAUUACAACUUUCUAUUUUAAGGAAGAGUUUUACUUAUAUUUCUUAGUUCUUUGGCACCUCCAACAUGCCUGUGUGUAAAACCCAUCAGCGCAAUGCUAGGUGGCGGAGCCAGGCCCACAACAGGGCAUACCAUCACACAGGCACUGUUCCUAUUGCCCAUCAGGGGUCGUGGUAUCCGUGCCCUAUUCUACUAAGCUGAUUCUAAUACCUGAAAAUAGGAUGGACCUAUUUUUUAGAAUUUCCAUCUUUAAUUUUUUUAGAGAAAGACUUCCCAGUAGGAAUUAAGAAAUGCUAGUUACCAUAUAACAUGUCUCUUCUUGAGAAUUCCUUGUAAAGGAAUAGCUGAGCUGGUGUUGAAGCAGAGAGAGAAUAGGUCUAGGCAGAAUAGUAAAGGAAGAAAGACCUUUGACAUUUAAGUCUCCAUACUCCACUACUGUCUUCCAGAGCAAAUAGCGGGUAUAUGAUCUGACAACAGAACAGCGCACUGUAAGUGGAGCAUCUUGCCUUAUGUUCGGUAACAGUGCUGUCCUUCACAGUAGCCAAAGUCCUUUCUUUUUUUAGGGAUGUGUAAGAGUCUAAGCUGGGCAUAGUGGCUCAUAGGCCUGUAAUUCUAGCUACUUGGGAGGUAGAGAUGGAGAGCAUCACACUUUAAGGCCAUCCUAG
Dipodomys spectabilis (banner-tailed kangaroo rat) is the source of this 3572-nucleotide RNA transcript. It is a transcript of the gene named ALG9 alpha-1,2-mannosyltransferase, with no coding region annotated. The record is from RefSeq and is a predicted model, not a curated record. NCBI's taxonomy places the organism in Eukaryota, Metazoa, Chordata, Mammalia, Rodentia, Heteromyidae. The transcript is spliced from 16 exons.